RNAcentral lists this ribosomal RNA (558 nucleotides) under uncultured Thiothrix sp. RNAcentral's name for it is "bacterial SSU rRNA". It matches the Rfam family "Bacterial small subunit ribosomal RNA", at positions 342 to 916 of the family's 1533-position model. Lineage: Bacteria; Pseudomonadati; Pseudomonadota; Gammaproteobacteria; Thiotrichales; Thiotrichaceae. The record is from RNAcentral.
CGGGAGGCAGCAGUCGGGAAUAUUGGACAAUGGGGGCAACCCUGAUCCAGCAAUACCGCGUGUGUGAAGAAGGCCUGCGGGUUGUAAAGCACUUUUAGUAGGGAAGAUAAUGACGUUACCUACAGAAAAAGCACCGGCUAACUCCGUGCCAGCAGCCGCGGUAAUACGGAGGGUGCAAGCGUUAAUCGGAAUUACUGGGCGUAAAGCGUGCGUAGGCGGCUCUUUAAGUCAGAUGUGAAAUCCCCGGGCUCAACCUGGGAACUGCAUCUGAUACUGGGGAGCUAGAAUGUGGGAGAGGGAAGUGGAAUUUCCGGUGUAGCGGUGAAAUGCAUAGAGAUCGGAAGGAACAUCAGUGGCGAAGGCGACUUCCUGGACCAACAUUGACGCUGAGGCACGAAAGCGUGGGUAGCAAACAGGAUUAGAUACCCUGGUAGUCCACGCCGUAAACGAUGUCAACUAGCCGUCGGCUCCAACUAAGGGGUCGGUGGUGCAGCUAACGCAUUAAGUUGACCGCCUGGGGAGUACGCGCGCAAGCGUAAAACUCAAAGGAAUUGACGG